This 262-nucleotide ribosomal RNA is filed under the name uncultured bacterium. RNAcentral describes it as "partial 16S ribosomal RNA". It matches the Rfam family "Bacterial small subunit ribosomal RNA", at positions 524 to 784 of the family's 1533-position model. The record is from RNAcentral.
UACGUAGGGGGCAAGCGUUGUCCGGAAUCAUUGGGCGUAAAGAGCGCGUAGGCGGCCCAGUAAGUCCGCUCUGAAAGUCAGGGGGCUCAACCCCUGAAUGCGGGUGGAUACUGCUGGGCUAGAGUCCGGAAGAGGCGAGUGGAAUUCCUGGUGUAGCGGUGAAAUGCGCAGAUAUCAGGAGGAACACCGAUGGCGAAGGCAGCUCGCUGGGACGGUACUGACCGCUGAGGCGCGAAAGCGUGGGGAGCAAACAGGAUAGAAA